UUCGGUGUGGAAGUGCAGUAAUGCAUGGAGCUGACGAAUACUAAUCGGUCGAGGACUUAUCCACA
RNAcentral lists this ribosomal RNA (65 nucleotides) under Brevibacillus laterosporus. RNAcentral describes it as "partial 23S ribosomal RNA". The record is from RNAcentral. Lineage: Bacteria; Bacillati; Bacillota; Bacilli; Caryophanales; Paenibacillaceae.